UCAUAUGCUUGUCUCAAAGCUUAAGCCAUGCAAGUGUAAGUUCACGCCACGCAUUAGAAUGGGUGAAACCGCGAAUGGCUGAGGAACCGGACCUAAUCCUCGGGACCGUAAUCCUCCUCAGACGCGAUGGAUAACUGUGGCAAUUCUAGAGCUAAUACAUGUGACACAGGCCGNNNNNNNNNNNNNNNNNNNNNNNNNNNNNNNNNNNNNNNNNNNNNNNNNNNNNNNNNNNNNNNNNNNNAAACGGCUACCACAUCCAAGGAAGGCAGCAGGCGCGCAAAUUACCCACUCCCGGCACGGGGAGGUAGUGACGAAAAAUAACGACGCGGGACUCUGUCGAGGCCCCGCGAUCGGAAUGAGUACACUUCAAAUCCGUUAACGAGGACCAACCGGAGGGCAAGUCUGGUGCCAGCAGCCGCGGUAAUUCCAGCUCCGGUAGCGUAUAUUAAAGUUGUUGCGGUUAAAAAGCUCGUAGUCCGAACUCGGGUUCGUGGUCGCUCACGCGGCCCCGGGGCGGCGGCGCCAUCGUCCAUCGUUGACUUUGGUCGUCCGUUCGCAUUCCCGGCCCUUUCCGCCGGUGUCGAUCGCUGUAUAGACGGCCGCGGGCUCAGCUGGUGUCUGGCGCGUUGCGGCGUGCGUCUCUUUCCCGUUCGUGGUUCGGGCCGGCUUCGGUCGACUCGUCCGCGUCGGGUUGUCUCGUGCGUCGUUUCCGGGUCUUCGGGCUCCCUCUCGCCACGCAAACCCGCGUCGCCGUCGGCGAUUUCUCCUCCAAGGGUGCUCUUAACCGAGUGUCCGCGGCGGCCGGUACGUUCACUUUGAAAAAAUUAGAGUGCUCAGAGCGGGCUGUUCAAGCUUGCAUACGAUAAGCAUGGAAUGAUGGAAGAGGGCCUCGUCUACGUCUGUCGGUCUCCGUCUACGGCGAGGCAAUGAUCGAAGGGAGCGGUCGGGGCCACUCGUAUUGCGACGUUAGAGGUGAAAUUCUUGGAUCGUCGCAAGACGAACUGCAGCGAUGGCGUGUGGCAAGCACGUUUUCCUCGAUCAAGAGCGAAAGUCGGAGGUUCGAAGACGAUCAGAUACCGUCGUAGUUCCGACCGUAAACGAUGCCGACCGGCGAUCCGCCGGCGUUCGCUUCCAUGACCCGGCGGGUAGCCUGCGGGAAACCAGAGUUCGGUUCCGGGGGGAGUAUGGUUGCAAAGCUGAAACUUAAAGGAAUUGACGGAAGGGCACCACCAGGAGUGGAGCCUGCGGCUUAAUUUGACUCAACACGGGAAAACUCACCCGGUCCGGACACCGGUAGGAUUGACAGAUCGAUAGCUCUUUCUCGAUUCGGUGGGUGGUGGUGCAUGGCCGUUCUUAGUUGGUGGAGCGAUCCGUCUGGUUGAUUCCGAUAACGAACGAGACUCCGGCCUGCUAACUAGUGCGCCGAUGUGAGUGCGGCCCUUCGCUGGUCGUGUGCGGGCGUGCCGGUUGCCGAUUUUUGAUCGCGCUCCGGUCGCGUCCGGGUCGGUUUCUCACGCACUUCUUAGAGGGACGGGUGGCAGAAAGCCACACGAGGCGGAGCRAUAACAGGUCUGUGAUGCCCUUAGAUGUCCGGGGCCGCACGCGCGCUACACUGGAGGUAUCAGCGGGGACUUCGCCCCGGCCCGAGAGGGUCGGGAAACCUCUCAACCACCUCCCGUGAUAGGGAUCGGGGCCUGUAACCAACCCCGUGAACGAGGAAUUCCCGGUAGGCGCGGGUCAACAGCCCGCGUCGAUCACGUCCCUGCCCUUUGUACACACCGCCCGUCGCUACUACCGAUCGAACGGUCCGGUGAGGUCCUCGGAUCUGGCCGACGACGCCGCCGGGCGCGGGCCUUCGCGGGUCCCGCCUCGGCGUUCGAUGCCUGGAGAAGACGACCGAACCCGAUCGUUUAGAGGAAGUAAAAGUCGUAACAAGGUUUCC
RNAcentral lists this ribosomal RNA (1942 nucleotides) under Ancistrocheirus lesueurii. RNAcentral's name for it is "18S ribosomal RNA". It matches the Rfam family "Eukaryotic small subunit ribosomal RNA". Lineage: Eukaryota; Metazoa; Mollusca; Cephalopoda; Oegopsida; Ancistrocheiridae. The record is from RNAcentral.